ACUUCGGGUUGUCGUCGGUGUUGCAUGUCAUUGAGGACAAUGACUACUUCAGGUGUGUGAGGGUGUGACGCCCCAAAGUUUUGGGGCCUGUCACUCGCCAGGAUUGUGCGUGCCAACUAGGCCGCAACCUUGUCAGCUAUGCAGGCGGCAUGUGCUGAGGGAAUAGGCUGAAGUCGAAGAUGAGGCAAAGGGGCAUAACAUGAGGCAACAAGCAUCUAUAUAUGUUGCAUGACAUGUCCUAAGAGUGCCAAUGUGAUUUGGAGAGGGCUUGGUGUGAGCCCAAGGGGGCGGAGGCAUGGUGAGGAUCGUGUGCGGUGUUCGAUGUCAGCGCCGCGCCCUUUUGAGCUACAAGUGGAAUCUCAGGAUUCCGGUUUAGAGAGUUGAUAUUGAUGGUACCUUAUGUAUGCUUACCAAAUUUGGGGUCAUUUGGAGUCCGUUUGGAUAGGGGCUUGACUUGGCCAAAGUCCAGUGGCAUUGUCGUAAUUUGCUGAUUGGUCCGAAGGCCAUAACUCCUUCCAUGUGUAUGGGAAUGGGGUGAAGCUUCAUGGAGGUGUGAAGGAAGUCAAGAUAAAGGAGUAGGAACAAACGGCACCCAAUUUGAAGGUCGGAUGAAUGAUCUAAGCCCCAGUAUGAUUCUCGGGCAAAAUGAUGUCUAGUGGCAGACAUUGGGAUUAUUUAUUUUAAGCAUAUAUAAGGGGGGUAUGAAUGGUGACAGCCUACCAGCCUCCCCCGGGUGUGUCGACAGAUGGCCACCCCAAGUGUGCUGCCUUGAGGGACAACCUCAAGGGCCUGCCUUGGCAUGUCAAAGGAAUGCGCAAGGUACUCAUAGGGCUCGGGAACCCUAUGGGCAACGCAAGGUCGGGUGGACUAGCGUUGGGCGUCGGAAAAGGCUAGAGGUUGGCUAUAUGAACCGACAAGCCCCGUGGGCUGUCUAAAUGAUGGAAGGAUGCCUCCAAGCCGAUAGAGCAAUCGAGAUACUCUCCCCAAGAGACUCGUGAGCUAACUUGUGAGCUUGGUCAAGGUUCAGCCAAGCGAGCAAGGGUCCGUUGGCCUAGACGCGCAGUUGUGGGGCGACACUGUGCUACGGAAGCUGGAUGCAAGUUGCGUGGGCUAUGUUUGGCUAUGCCAUAAGACAUGAGAGGGCAUAUCUAAGAAAGACGCUUGAGACAAAGGCCAAGGAUUGAGGGUUGCCCUACUCGGGCGAAGCAAAGGCCAAGUGCACAUGCAUGAGGCGAUGUCAAGCUUGAGGAUAGGACUGUGCAUGCGAUGGCAAUGCUCAGGCCAAGGCAAGGGACAAGUAGGUCCGUAGCCACCCCCAGGAGCGCAUAUGGAUGAGAUCCACGGAUUAAAGGUGCGCCAGAAGAGUUGCUUAUACGUUGGCUAUGUCAGCCGACAUGUUGAAGGAGCGGCACCAAAGGGGGCAAGCCUCUGAGGCGAGCUUCCCACAGGCACAGGAUCGUGCUAAAGACCUGGGAAAUGAGGAAGGCUGGCCCAUAGUUGGGGGAACCAUGGGCGCCGCACGGGCAAAAUUGUGUGCCGCUGACACGUUGAAAAAUGAGCCCGUGACAAGUGGUAUCAGAGCAUAGAAUUGAGAGCAGAUUGUGAAUGUCAUUGCAGCGAUCACGUCAAAGCAUAGAUUGACAUUUGUUGUGCUCAUGAAGAUCGUUGGAGACGAUGCUACCUUGUAAAGGGAAUUGGUUGUAUGUUGAGAUGCUUGAGUUAGCUAUAUCAACCAAGGCCCAUCAUUUUAGAAUCAUGCCAUUUCACAGCCGUUGAUUCCGCCUUCGUCUGUGUGGGUUGAUUUCAUCUUCGAAGCAUCCGAGAGUGAUUGAGAAACCUUCAAGGGAUGACUUCAAAUCAGUGGGUACCGUAUGCAGAGGGAUUCCAUGGAGGCACGUUGGGCCAACAGUUGUGGUCAUCAUGCGAUGCUGUUUGAGUGGAACCACAAAGUUGGACAAUCGGAUAGCUAGUGCUCAAAUGUCCUUGAUUGUGGGGAAUCGUCAGUUCGUCAGAAACUCUGUUAGCGGUAUGUUGGCAACUAUGGUCAGAAGAGAGC
This 2056-nucleotide long non-coding RNA is filed under the name Capsicum annuum. Its description in RNAcentral is "long non-coding RNA (CANN_LNC018481)". The record is from RNAcentral. Lineage: Eukaryota; Viridiplantae; Streptophyta; Magnoliopsida; Solanales; Solanaceae.